RNAcentral lists this ribosomal RNA (253 nucleotides) under uncultured bacterium. RNAcentral describes it as "partial 16S ribosomal RNA". It matches the Rfam family "Bacterial small subunit ribosomal RNA", at positions 524 to 776 of the family's 1533-position model. The record is from RNAcentral.
UACGUAGGGUGCAAGCGUUGUUCGGAAUUAUUGGGCGUAAAGGGUGUGUAGGCGGUGCGGUAAGUUUGGUGUGAAAUCUCUCGGCUCAACUGGGAGGGUGCGCCGGAAACUGGAGUGCUGGAGCGCGGGAGGGGAGAGCGGAAUUCCUGGUGUAGCGGUGAAAUGCGUAGAUAUCAGGAGGAACACCGGCGGUGUAGACGGCUUUCUGGACCGUAGCUGACGCUGAGACACGAAAGCGUGGGUAGCAAACAGG